UGGGGAAUAUUGGACAAUGGGGGGAACCCUGAUCCAGCCAUGCCGCGUGUGUGAAGAAAGCCUUAUGGUUGUAAAGCACUUUAAGCGAGGAGGAGGGUACUGGUAUUAAUACUACCAGGUACUGGACGUUACUCGCAGAAUAAGCACCGGCUAACUCUGUGCCAGCAGCCGCGGUAAUACAGAGGGUGCAAGCGUUAAUCGGAAUUACUGGGCGUAAAGCGCGCGUAGGUGGUUCGUUAAGUUGAAUGUGAAAGCCCCGGGCUCAACCUGGGAACUGCAUCCAAAACUGGCGAGCUAGAGUAGGGCAGGGGGUGGUGGAAUUUCCUGUGUAGCGGUGAAAUGCGUAGAUAUAGGAAGGAACACCAGUGGCGAAGGCGACCACCUGGGCUCAUACUGACACUGAGGUGCGAAAGCGUGGGGAGCAAACAGG
This 430-nucleotide ribosomal RNA is filed under the name Pseudomonadota bacterium. RNAcentral's name for it is "Proteobacteria bacterium partial 16S ribosomal RNA". It matches the Rfam family "Bacterial small subunit ribosomal RNA", at positions 355 to 776 of the family's 1533-position model. The record is from RNAcentral. Lineage: Bacteria; Pseudomonadati; Pseudomonadota.